Long non-coding RNA from Marmota monax (woodchuck), 1733 nucleotides. RefSeq lists it as uncharacterized. The transcript has 3 exons. The record is from RefSeq and is a predicted model, not a curated record. Lineage: Eukaryota; Metazoa; Chordata; Mammalia; Rodentia; Sciuridae.
CCCGAAGCGCGUGGCUGGGAGGGGCUGCGCGCGGCCGGUUCACCACGUGAGAGCGGGUGCUGGCCCCACCCGCGUGUGCCACCCCCGGGGGAGGUCACCUUCACCGAGUUGUGGGAGUGGGCGCUGAGGCCUCUAUCCUGGAAAGCAGGAGCUGGCAGGGGUCGGAAUUAGGGCCUCAGAAGUGGCAUUCUCCUGGGGAUAAAUGCACUGAAGAGACUCCGCAGCCUCAACACGUACACAUUUAAACUGGAGGAUCCCAGACACACCAGGCUUGGCCUAUUCAGGGCCCUGACAGUGCACCCUGUCAAGGCCUGUGCAGCCCCACCGGGUACCCACUGCAGAGCAUCAAGGGACUCCUGCAGUUACCACUUCAGUUGUGCCACAAGGCCAGAGGACUCACCCGGUUUCCACUCUCACCAUUGUAUUCCCAGCACCUAGUGGAGCUUGGCACUAUGUAGGCUCUCAAUAUCUGUUCAGUCUCUGGGUACGGUGGUAUACACGUGUAAUCCCAGCGGUUCGGAAGGCUAAGGCAGGAGGAUCACAAGUUCAAAGCCAGCCUCAGCAACUUAGUGAGGUCCUGAGCAACUUGGCAUAGACUGGUAUAGACUCUGUCUCAACGUGAAAUAUAAAAAGGGCUGGGGGGCUGGGAUUGUGGCUCAGCGGUAGAGCACUUGCCUAGCACGUUCGAGGCCCUGGGUUCGAUCCUCAGCACCACAUAAAAAUAAAUGAAUAAAAUAAUGGUACAGUGUCAACUACAACUAAAAAUUAUUUUUAAAAAAAUAAAUAAAUGAAAAUUAAAAGGGCUGGGGGUGUGCUUCGGUGGUUAAGCAUCCCUGGGUUCAAUCCCUGGUAGAAAAAAAUAUAUCUGUUCAGGGAAGGAAAGAAGACACCAACUCAGGUGAGCUAGACUCCCCCCCACCUCCAACUAUGUCUAACUCCAGAAGGACCCAUCUUCAAACAAGUGAACCAGUGUUUUCCUCAGAGACAUUCAGAAUGAAAAGACAAGGUCGGUUGGUCCGUCUCUCUUUUCUCUCUCUCCCUCUCUCUCUUUCUCUUAAAUUCAUCUAAAUUUCUUCAUUUAAACAAAUUCAGAGGCUAUGAUAAUAAGUGUGUUAUAAGACCCUUUCUUUUUAUUAAAUGAUAGUAUAGAACUAUUUAUAUAAAUAAAUAGCUAUAUUUAUUUAUAUGCAGCACUGGGGAUUGAAUCCAGGUCUCAUGCACCAUUAGGGAAGCACUCUUUCUGUGAGUUACACCCUUAGCCCUCAUAGGUAGCUACUGAGCACUUGAAAUGUGGCUAGUAUGAAUUGAAAUGAUGCUGUAGUGCAGAAUACACAUUGGCUUUCACAUAUUAUUAUUAAAAAAAAAGUAACAUAACCAGGAGCCGUGGCGCACGCCUGUAAUCCCAGCAGCUCCAGAGGCUGAGGCAGGGGAAUCACGAGUUCAAAGUCACCCUCAGCAACGGUGAGGGGCAAAGCAACUCAGUGAGACCCUGUCUCUAGAUAAAAUACAAAAUGGGCUGGGGAUGGGGCUCAAUGGUUAAGUGCCCCUGAGUUCAAUUCCCGGUACAAAAAUAAAUAAAUAAAUAAAAAAUAAGUUCUGUUUAUAUAUUUCUAUUGAUUACACGUUGAGAAUAUAUUUUGGAUAUAUAUCACGUUUACUGAACUUACAUGUAAUUAAUAGUAGUCAUUAGCAAGUAAUGAUUAAUAAAGCAAAUAAAAUAUAUGAAAAUUAAA